RNAcentral lists this ribosomal RNA (309 nucleotides) under uncultured bacterium. RNAcentral describes it as "partial 16S ribosomal RNA". It matches the Rfam family "Bacterial small subunit ribosomal RNA", at positions 504 to 808 of the family's 1533-position model. The record is from RNAcentral.
AGAGACAGCAGCCGCCGCGGGAAUACGUAGGGGGCAAGCGUUAUCCGGAAUUACUGGGCGUAAAGGGAGCGCAGGCGGUUUAGUAAGUCUGAAGUUAAAGGCAUUGGCUCAACCAAUGUAUGCUUUGGAAACUGUUAGACUUGAGUGCAGAAGGGGAGAGUGGAAUUCCAUGUGUGGCGGUGAAAUGCGUAGAUAUAUGGAGGAACACCGGUGGCGAAAGCGGCUCUCUGGUCUGUCACUGACGCUGAGGCUCGAAAGCGUGGGUAGCGAACAGGAUUAGAUACCCCUGUAGUCCCUGUCUCUUAUACA